This 220-nucleotide long non-coding RNA is filed under the name Mytilus galloprovincialis (Mediterranean mussel). The record is from RNAcentral. Lineage: Eukaryota; Metazoa; Mollusca; Bivalvia; Mytilida; Mytilidae.
CCAAAUUUUAUAAAACUUCACAGUAACGAUGAGCAACAUUGGUAGAUGUGGAAUUUGGCGUUGGAAUUUCGAAAAUGUCUGCCGUUACCAUGGAAACAAUGCAAAACAGGUCAAAAUGGUCCAAAAACCUUAAAGUGGCAUUUACUUUCUUAAAAUGGUAGGUCAAAUUGAUUGAAACUUUGAUGGUAUGGUCCCUCCCAUGUACCAAUGUGGUAUAUGC